ACUUGGUGGCGGCCUUCUUGGGUGACUUCUUCUCUUUGCCCUCCUUGGCGGCGGCGGCAGCGGUCUUCUUUGGGAGCAACACAGGGUUGAUGUUGGGCAGAACCCCGCCAUGCGCGAUGGUGACGCCGGCCAGCAGCUUCCCGAGCUCCUCGUCGUUGCGGAUCGCCAGCAGUACGUGCCGCGGGAUGAUCCGGUUUUUCUUGUUGUCCCGCGCUGCGUUCCCCGCCAACUCGAGGACCUAAAAAUAGGAAGGAGGGACGAAGCGAGGCGACGCGAGACGAAUCAGGUCUUCCGCGUCUUCCGCGACGGGUGGGAAAUGGGUGGGCUCCGACUGACCUCGGCGGCGAGGUACUCGAGGACGGCGGCGAGGUAGACGGGGGCGCCGGUGCCGAUACGCUGGGCGUAGCGACCCUGCUUGAGGUAGCGGCCGAUACGGCCGACGGGGAACUGGAGGCCGGCCUUCACGGAGCGAGAGACCGGCUUCUUCUUCGGGCCGCCGCCGCCGCGACGCCCUGCCGCGGCCUUCUUCGGCACCUUUGCUCCGGCAUCCAUCUCCGAUAAAGCCCCC
RNAcentral lists this long non-coding RNA (568 nucleotides) under Sorghum bicolor (sorghum). RNAcentral describes it as "long non-coding RNA (SBIC_LNC016691)". Lineage: Eukaryota; Viridiplantae; Streptophyta; Magnoliopsida; Poales; Poaceae. The record is from RNAcentral.